This 253-nucleotide ribosomal RNA is filed under the name uncultured bacterium. RNAcentral's name for it is "partial 16S ribosomal RNA". It matches the Rfam family "Bacterial small subunit ribosomal RNA", at positions 524 to 776 of the family's 1533-position model. The record is from RNAcentral.
UACGUAGGGGGCAAGCGUUAUUCGGAAUUACUGGGCGUAAAGCGUGCGUAGGCGGUUUGCUAAGUCUGGUGUGAAAUCCCUGAACCCAAUUCAGGACGUGCAUUGGAUACUGGCAGACUAGAGUAUGGGAGAGGAAAGCGGAAUUCCAGGUGUAGAGGUGAAAUUCGUAGAUAUCUGGAGGAACAACAGAGGCGAAGGCGGCUUUCUGGACCAUUACUGACGCUGAGGCACGAAAGCGUGGGGAGCAAACAGG